RNA transcript from Rhagoletis zephyria (snowberry fruit fly), 1204 nucleotides. It is a transcript of the gene named biogenesis of lysosomal organelles complex 1 subunit pallidin, with no coding region annotated. The record is from RefSeq and is a predicted model, not a curated record. Lineage: Eukaryota; Metazoa; Arthropoda; Insecta; Diptera; Tephritidae.
UGUGGCAGCAUUCCACAUUGUUUUUGUCUAUCUUUUCCCACAUUUUUCGCCUUUUUUCUGGUCUUUUGUAAUUUUUCGUAUUUGUUAUUAAAUUUUCAGUGCUUAAUUAAAUCGUAAAACGUCUAGUGCAUUAAUUUUCAUAGUAAUAUUAAUACCUUAAUUUAAAAAUGCUGAAAAGUAGUAAUAUCGAGAGUAUUAUUAAUGCUGUAGAAGCGGGAGGUCAGCAACCGAGGCCACAACUGCCGUUAGCACUGAAUAAUACCAGCUCGAAUGAAGCAGAUGAAGUGUACAUACCACAAGGGAGCAACGCCUACGCUGCAUCACUCUCAAAUACUUUUGGUAAAAACGAUGACAGUGAGAAUAGUAAUGAUAAUAAUGUGCCAACAACAAAGCAGGCAAGCAGUGAACAAACACCAGAUUCAUUGGCCACCAAACAGUUGACCGCAGGUUUAUUGCAAAUAUUCGAGCCACCACUAGCAAAAGCGCGCGGUCAGCUGAAAGAACUCAUUGGAAAGCAGAAUAAAAUCUACAUUGAUUUAUCGGCUGAGAAAUACAAAUUAGAUGAUGCUGAAACGACGAGGUUACAUGAAAUGAUGAACAAUGUAAAAAUUUAUCGCGAGAAAUUGGUGAAGAUAAAAAAACAAAUGCAGAAUAUUUAUCAGCGCACCAAAGUUUUGAAGAAACGCGCAUUUAACGUGCAAGUGUGCAAGCAAAAAGAGCUCCAACGCAAAUUGCAAAAGCAGCAACAAGAGGAGUCCUUAAUCGCCAAGCAACAGCAGCAGCAACAACAACAGUAGAAUUAAGCAGCGCAACACGUGCAGUGAAACAAAAUCAAAGGAUUUUCGGUAGAAUUUUCAGAAUGUUUAUACAAUAUCCGUUAUAUAUUGAAGUUAAAAAUAAUAAUAAUACUGAAAGACUUGCAAUUUGUUUUAGUUAUUAAAGAAUAGAUUUUGAUUAUAUUUUAUAUAAAUGUAGUACCAUAUAUAAUUAAAAUACACUAAUAUAAAGGUUUAAUAAAAAAUGCCCUUAAGCAUUAUCAUGCUUAAUGUAAAACGAAUACAUGCUUGCAAUACAAUUUGCCUAAUUUAAGAUGAAUUGUUCUGUAUGUAUGCAGCUACUUUACUACUCAAUUAUUCAAAGAAAUACGCUUUUUUUGUGCUAAGGGCAACAUUUGAGCACAACGUUAUAAUGCUUUGGUUUUGAG